This 460-nucleotide ribosomal RNA is filed under the name uncultured bacterium. RNAcentral's name for it is "partial 16S ribosomal RNA". It matches the Rfam family "Bacterial small subunit ribosomal RNA", at positions 338 to 795 of the family's 1533-position model. The record is from RNAcentral.
CCUACGGGAGGCAGCAGUGAGGAAUAUUGGUCAAUGGGCGGGAGCCUGAACCAGCCAAGUAGCGUGCAGGAUGACGGCCCUACGGGUUGUAAACUGCUUUUAUACAGGAAUAACGCGCCUUACGUGUGGGUCUUUGCAUGUACCGUAUGAAUAAGGACCGGCUAAUUCCGUGCCAGCAGCCGCGGUAAUACGGAAGGUCCGUGCGUUAUCCGGAUUUAUUGGGUUUAAAGGGAGCGUAGACCGAUUGUCAAGCGUGUUGUGAAAUUUCCGGGCUCAACCCGGGCAUUGCAAAGUGUACUGGCGGGCUUGAGUACGCGGAAGGUAGGCGGAAUUCGUUGUGUAGCGGUGAAAUGCUUAGAUAUGACGAAGAACUCCGAUUGCGAAGGCAGUUUGCUGCACUGGAACUGACGUUGAUGCUCGAAAGUGUGGGUAUCGAACAGGAUUAGAUACCCCAGUAGUC